UGGUACACAUUUGGUGGAGGAACCAGACUGGAUGUUGGAAGUGAAGCCCGUCCCACCUUGAUGGUUCUGCCCCCUUCCAAUGAGGAGCUGCAGCAGGGGAAGGCCACGCUCGUGUGCCUGGCCAACAAGGGCUUCCCCUCAGACUGGAGUCUGGCCUGGAAGGUGGACGGCAUCAGCGGCGGCAGCUGGGAGGAGAGCAGGGGCCCUGCGGUGAUGGAGCAGGACGCUCGUUACAGCUGGAGCAGCACCCUGAGGCUCUCUGCAGGCCAGUGGACGAAGGUGGGCUCUGUGACCUGUGAGGCCACCCAGGGCUCCCAGACGCUGGUCUCAGAGACACUGAGGAGGGACCAGUGUUCCCAGGACUGAGCUGUAUCACCUGGA
Labrus bergylta (ballan wrasse) is the source of this 381-nucleotide non-coding RNA. Lineage: Eukaryota; Metazoa; Chordata; Actinopteri; Labriformes; Labridae. The record is from the annotation of a RefSeq genome assembly.